GGUUCUUGAAGUAUCAUAGUGUUAAGUUAGAAGAACUGACUGAAACUGAAAAUGCAGGCUGAGGAAGAGCUAAGGUGUUUGAGGCAGAGCGGUUGGAGGUUGGGACGAUAAGUAGGGGAUGUCCUCGAGCUCGCAAACCAGGUGAGUUAUCACGACUCGUUCCUGGGCGCUUGUUUUUUGCUGGACGAGGACACAAUACGUUGCACUCUUCCAGGUGGUGAUUUCCCCUUGAUUGAGCUUAUUAAUCUGGUCCUCUGGUUAAACAAUUAGGACUUCGAGGUGGAAGAAGUUCAUGAACAGCCAAAAUUUCCUCGUCCAGUCCCCUCAGGAAUGAGCCGUGUUGCGCCUGCUCACUCCGAGCAGGGAACCUCUACAUACCACUCCAACAGCUCCUCCCGCCUGCCCAAACCCAACCACCCCAGUAGCUUCUCCCGAACUCCGCUAUCUCCCUCAGCCCGCGGCCCGCCAAUGUGGUGUAAGGAGUGAAAUUAUUUCCUUAUGAAAUUAAUUCUUUGUGAAGCCAGACAUUCAGGAACUCUCGCAAUGAUUUGAUCAGAUAGAAAUCUGAUCUAGAAGAAAGACCAUUUAUUUUUUGAUCUCUUCACCCAUCCUUUCCCCCUGGGUACAUGGUCCAGGUCACUAAAAGUUGACAGAAAUGCCAAGAACUCAAGUUACUAUUCUCACAUAAAACACUUACUAUAUCUUCAGGAUUCAUGAUUGUAAACUUCAUGUUUGGUGUCAUUUUAAAGGUCUCUGUGUGAUUUGGUAAAAUGGUCUCAAUUUCACAGUAGUCAUUUAUAUUAUGAGAAAGAUUAAAAACUUGUAGAAUUGUGUUCUGCUGUGAAGGGUGUGUGUCCCCCUUUAGGGGUCUUUGAGAAUGUUUAUCUCCAGCCAGGUGUGACCCUGAUGUGAUCACGGGAACCUAAAGAACCAAAAGGACUUUUGUUUUUACAACUGAUUUGAAGACUUCUUUGUUGUCUUGUCUGAGUAUUUAAGGGAAGUGACAAAACACUACUAGGCGAUUCUGUAUCCAGAAAGCCCGUAGUGUGGAGUGUAUUUCAUAUGCUCCAUACUAUGUCUCUUCCUGAAGUUAGG
Cyprinus carpio carpio is the source of this 1095-nucleotide long non-coding RNA. The record is from Ensembl. Lineage: Eukaryota; Metazoa; Chordata; Actinopteri; Cypriniformes; Cyprinidae.